AUGUAUAGCUAUGUAUCCGACCGAUCAAGUUGUGUGCAGACGUGUAUAGCAUGUGGCAUUGCUAUCAACUGGCAACCAAGAUCAUGUUGCAUUCUGAAUUUCCACUUCGUCGUGUCCAUCCAUGACUUAAAGCUCGAAAAGGCGUCAGGUGUGAUUUGUUCAGCUGUUCUACUUCGGUUGCUCCUACAAAUACGCAGUUCUGUGUCUUUGUCACUAUGCUGUGUAGUUGUUCUGGAAUCCCAUCCCCAAUCCGUAUUGUGUCUUCCUGCAUUGCUUAGCCAUGGCCAUACCCUUCAAAGGAGGUCUGUAAAUUGUAAUCGUGCAUUGAGAUAG
Molecule: ribosomal RNA, 333 nt
Filed under: Triticum aestivum (bread wheat)
Lineage: Eukaryota; Viridiplantae; Streptophyta; Magnoliopsida; Poales; Poaceae
Description: partial small subunit ribosomal RNA
Source: RNAcentral